This is a small nuclear RNA of Mesocricetus auratus (golden hamster), 101 nucleotides long. NCBI's taxonomy places the organism in Eukaryota, Metazoa, Chordata, Mammalia, Rodentia, Cricetidae. The record is from Ensembl.
UCAAAAUUUCUUAGGGCUGAGCUUGCUGAAAUUGGAGUAAUACAGAGAAGAUCAUCAUGGCCCUCAUAAGGAGGAUAUGCAAAUUCAUGAACUAGUUUUUU